Molecule: long non-coding RNA, 242 nt
Filed under: Sus scrofa (pig)
Lineage: Eukaryota; Metazoa; Chordata; Mammalia; Artiodactyla; Suidae
Description: lncRNA (ENSSSCG00070024141.1)
Source: RNAcentral
CUGUGACUCACAGCUCAGUGCUUUGAUAUCCUGCACAGAAUCCUGGAAAGAGGGCCCUGAAAGAAGCUGUCACAAACAGUGUAAAGCUCCUCACUCUCUUCUUAGCUAAAGAGGCUUAAGCAGUUGAGGAAGGAACAUAAAAGAUACAGACUCCAGAGUCAUGAAGACCUAGGAUUGAUCCCACCUCCACCACUUCCUGCCACUGUGAUUUAGCAAAGUGCUUAAUUUUUAUGUCUGGUAGU